RNAcentral lists this ribosomal RNA (495 nucleotides) under Miroceramia sp. SB0342. RNAcentral describes it as "partial 16S ribosomal RNA". It matches the Rfam family "Bacterial large subunit ribosomal RNA", at positions 1915 to 2622 of the family's 2925-position model. Lineage: Eukaryota; Metazoa; Arthropoda; Insecta; Phasmatodea; Heteropterygidae. The record is from RNAcentral.
AUGAUUUAUUAAAUGGCCGCGGUAUCUUGACCGUGCAAAGGUAGCAUAAUCAUUAGUCUAUUAAUUGUGGACUAGUAUGAAUGGUUGGACGAAAUAUUUACUGUCUCAUAUUUUUAUAUAUAAUUUAAAUUUUUAGUUAAAAUGCUUAAAUUAUCUUAUAGGACGAGAAGACCCUAUAGAUCUUUAUUUACAUUUGUUUUUAAAAUUUUUGGAUUAUUUAUUUUUAAAAAUUUAUUGUUUAUUUUGUUGGGGUGACGUGGGGAUAUAUAGAACUCUUUAUUUUUUAUAUCAUUGAUUUAUGUAUAAUUGACCUUUUAUUAUUGUUUUAAGAUUUAGAUACCUUAGGGAUAACAGCGUAAUUCUUUUUGAGAGUUCAUAUCGACAAAAGAGAUUGCGACCUCGAUGUUGGAUUAAGAUUAUAAUUAGGUGUAGUCGCUUAAUUGUUAGGUCUGUUCGACCUUUAAAUUCUUACAUGAUCUGAGUUCAAACCGGAGA